RNAcentral lists this ribosomal RNA (219 nucleotides) under uncultured bacterium. RNAcentral's name for it is "partial 16S ribosomal RNA". It matches the Rfam family "Bacterial small subunit ribosomal RNA", at positions 524 to 747 of the family's 1533-position model. The record is from RNAcentral.
GACAGAGGCCUCAAGCGUUAGGCGGAAUCACUGGGCUUAAAGCGUGUGUAGGCGGAUCGUUAAGUGUCUUGUGAAUCCCACGGCUCACCCGUGGAACUGCUGGGCAUACUGGCGAUCUUGGCCACUAGGGCAACUGGAACAAGCGGUGGAGCGGUGAAAUGCGUAGAUAUCGCUUGGAACGCCAAAGGUGAAACAGGUUGCUGGGGUUGUGCCGACGCU